Molecule: long non-coding RNA, 3243 nt
Organism: Passer domesticus (house sparrow)
Lineage: Eukaryota; Metazoa; Chordata; Aves; Passeriformes; Passeridae
Exons: 9
Source: RefSeq, a predicted model, not a curated record
UAGAGGGCUCAGAUCUAUGUGGUGGGCUCUGAUGCUAAGGUAGAGCUGGGGAUGUUGCAGUACAAGAGCUUUUGCAAGUGGAGGGUGAAGAUUUAUUAUAUUUUUCUUGCUAAGAGAAAUCUUGAAACACACUUUAAAAUCUCCCUGUGUCUGUGAUGGGCCUCACGAGCACCUGGAGGAGCUGGUGUGGCUGGAACACACGGGCUGCACUGGAGAUCCCAGCUUGUGGAGACAGAGCUGGCCUUGGGAUGAAGCUGCUGGAUGUCCAGGAGCUGCCCCGGCUGUUUCCUUGCUGCCCAGCAGUGGCAGGGGCUCUCCAGAGCCAUUCCUUCCCUUCUGCUUUAAAAGACAGAGAGAAGCAACUCAGACUUCCAGCUGUGGAUUUUGGAUGCUUUCCAAAAAGUUUGGGCUUCUGCCUGGAUAAAAUACAUCCCUGGCACCCUUCCAAGAGCUAUUUAUAGCAGGAGCUCCUAGAAGACAGUGUGACAACUCCAGAAAACAAGGAAUUGCCAAAUCAUCCUGCAGCGAGCAGCAGCAAAUUAACCCCUCGCCAGACACACCCACGGGAGCCACACAUGCCCAGAGCCCCAGACCCUGCCGAGGACUGGUACCAAGUGACUUCAUGAAGGAAAUGCUGUGAAGAAUCAACAAGGACAGCUUAAGAUUCCUGCACAAAAAGCUGUGUCAUGAGGUGCCCAUGAGGUUUUUGCCCUUCUGUCGAGUCCCAUGGAUACAAUCCCUGAGGACAAGAGGAGCUGGUUCUCCCUGGACAUGGCACACACGGGUGUCUGCAAAAACACCUCCACUGCAGAAACACUGAUCUCUGCCAGCCCUCAAGCUGCUCUUGCCUUUGCUGCACACCUUAAAACAAGGAUGUACUGAAGAAGGCAGCACCUCUCCAGUGUGACCAGUGACAGGUACCUGCACGGCUUGUUCCAAUCAGCAGCCUCAGCGUGGCUGCUCCUCCUCCCUGAAGCCCCAAGCCCCACAUCUUGUCUGAGGCAGGAGGAAGGAGACUGACACAGUUCUGCGAGUUGUUUUUUUUCCUGCUGCUACUGGAAACCUGCUCACAUCUAUUGCGGAGAUGAUCAAGAAGCAUUUUUCUACAAGUAAGCCAUGGCUAAAUGUGUCUGGAUGGGUUAAAGUCCCCCUUUUAUGCGGCACUGAGAUGGUGUGUGCCCUUGUGGAGGUGCUCAGCACAGGCUGGCUGGGUGGUGUGUGAGCUGCAGCUCUGGUUUGUGUUGCUGGAAUCUCUUGGAGCAUCAGCUCCGCCGUCUCCUGGAUGCAGCAUUAAUUAAACAGAAUGGCCCCGCUCCAGGCCCCAGUGGACAAGCAUCCACAUGGCAACUGUGAGCCUUGUCAGCAGCAAGAGAUUAAGGAAUUAAUUGGCAGGGUUAAUCUUCGUGUCAGGGUUGGAAAUGAAUUGUUAAUUUGUUUGGAUGAGUGUAAAGUCCUCUGGCAGCGAUGGCAGGUGGGAUCACAUGAGGGAAGGGCUGUGAAGCUGCCCUUCCUGGGCACCUUUCUGCUUCACACCUCUGCCAGCAGACAUCUCCAGCUCUCUGCCCCCAGGUGUGAGGCUCCCAGGCAGGGUUGGAGGAGCUCCUUGUGUCACUCCCAUCCUUUCAGGUGACAGCACAGCUGCUCCAGCCUGUGACGUGGGAGAAGGGCUGGCUGCAGCUUGGGAGGGCUCUUUUUAAUUCCAGCCUUUCUGAUCUUCCUCCCUGGUGCUGUUGUCUGUCCCUUGUCUCUGGCUGUGCAUGGCAAGUACUGGGUGAGGCCAACCUGCUCCAGGAUAUGAGUGAGGAAGAGACAUGCUUGCACCAAAAUGCCACUUUUGGGGCGCAGAGUGUAAAACUUGAUUGGCCUGUGUGGACACUAAACCCUGUCAGACACUUCUCUCCCCCUCCAGGACACUGUAGAAAGAGAAUCUGUCAGGGAUGGGUGUUUGGAGAUUCAUCAGCAGCACAGCUGAACCUGCCCUGUGUAGCUAAGAAGGCCCACAGCAUCUUGCUGGCAUGAGCAGCUACUCCAGUGAACUCCCACCUGAGUUGCCAUUUUCUAUUCCACAUAAAACCACCCUUCACAGUUUCUUGACUUAAAAUUAUUAUUAGUUAUUUGUCCUAAAAUGUCAAUAAUGCAGUGAUAUUCUAGCAGAGCUUUUCUGUACUGUCAUUUCCUAUUAAUUCCUUAGAAAUAGUGACAACAUAAUCUGGAACAAGACUAUCACCUUGUCUAUGCCAUAUAUAAAAUAUUAAUACUAAAAGUGGACUGGGUUCAUCCUAGACCUAAUUAGUUCUUUGGAGAAUUUACUUUGUGCAGCAGCCUGGACUGUCCAUAUUGAUGUUAACAUAUUAUAUAAUCAGCUUUGGAACAGGCAGCAGUCUGAAGGCUGGGUUCUGUGUCCCUCUGCUAAGUCACUACCCUGAGGAGAACACUGAAAAUCAGCAGAAUUUGACUGGAAAACAAGAGCACAAAGGCCUGGGUUUUGUAAGGACUUGUAGAAUGACUGAUUAUGUCCAAAUCAACAUUGUUUGCAAACUGUGCUCUCCAAACACAUUUUUAUCGCUAUAUAUAUAGCAGAGAUUUUAAAAAAUGAGUUAGAUGUUCCCUUUUGCUGUCCAAAGAGGGUGGUGAAGUCAUGGAACAUGCUAUUUUGAUAAUUUGGAACAUGCCCCAGGAGCUGAUUAAAUGAUCUCUCUUGCUCUGUAUGUGAACUGUGCGUUUCCAUGCAAACAUCACAAGGGUCAGAGCUGCACACAGGAGCCUGCAGGAUCUGCUCUGUCUCUGCCUGGCUUUUUACUACCUGUUUAAACACCAUACAUAUUUUAAUAGACAGUUUAAUAGACAAUAGCUUGUCAACUGAAAUACUUCCCUAUAAAAGCAAGCAGUGGAUGAAGUGGAAUUGCUACUGUGAAUUUAAUGGCCCAGAAAUUCCUCCCUGGCACAGGUGCCCAGAGAAGCUGUGGCUGCCCCUGGAUCCCUGGAAGUGUCCAAGCAUCUUCACCUCGACUUUCCAUGAAGAAAUUUGCCAUCUUCCCUCAAAAAUGGAAACAGGAAGAAGAAAUCAGCUGUUGUCUGUUGCUCAAACCCUUGGGAGGCAGGACCUGAUGGAGAUUUAUCAUCUCACUCCUGGCUCAGAUUGUUGCUCUAAUCUUGUCGACAGGAAACAAUAAAAUAUCCACUCAGAUUAAUAUGUGAGAUUGAGAGAUCCAAUUAGCGCUCACAUCCUUCAAUCCUUACGGG